UCUGCCUCUACAACAAAAUAUACCGAAAGGUGACCUCUAUCCCUAAAACCCUCCAGCAGUUUGUUUUCCCAAGUGAUUAAAAAUAUAGAUUCAGCUGCCUUUUCCCUUGUGCCAUGGGUCAUGUAAGAAAUAGUCAAAGAAAACAGCCACCUUUCUGCUUUCCAGGAAGUAACCCUCCCUAAAAUACAAUAAGCUGCUCUCAGGGUUUGGUGAGUGUAUUCUUAUGGAGGAGUCCCGGGCCCCAGACAGCAGAGAUUAGGGCACAAUAACAAGGGGGAACCUACAAAAGACAUGAGUGAUACAUAGGCUCCUCUAGAAUUCAGUACUAACUCAGAAGGCACAGUAAUUGACAGCCUUCUAGAACUUAGCUGUGAAGAGAAGAAACCAUGGCAGUGCUGAAUCUAUGGGAUUCCUAUCUUCUCAAGCUUCAGAAAUGAAUAUGGUAUAAGGAAGGCAAGUGAAAAGACAGAAUGAGCACUCAAGUUUAGGGUUAGAGACAAUGGCAACGUUGUUCUAAAACAGUGAGACUAAUACUUCAUUAAUCUCUAGACUCGAACUCAGGAAUCUGAGACUUGAACUCAAGAACACAUUCAGAUUUACUUAACAGCCCAAGUAUGUUUACAAACUUCCAAAUUACAACUUCCAAAUUAUUGGGUUCUAAAAAUGCACUUCCAAAUUAGUUAUUUAGAAAUCUGAAAUACAUUUUUCCAAAGCCAGAAUGCCACAAAUGGCAGUUAAAUGUCCUUUUAGGGCUUAAAAGACUAUGUGAACCAUAAUAUAGCUGAAUAGUAGUACUGUAAGUACUGUAGCUUUCCACUGCUUCUCUAUGUACAAACACGCUCCAAUUUCCAGCUGGGCACUGAGAAUGCCAAGAGCACGCUACACCCAGCCUCUAGGGAACAUGUGCUGUCAGGAAGUGAAAGCAGCAGGGGUCAGAGUAAAUAUGGGCAAGUCUUGCCACCGUGGCCAUGCACAAUAAAGGACAGCUGUAACUUGGCAUCUUGAUCUCAGGGACUGCCUGUAAUCAGAACUGUACACAUCUAUCUCUUCUCUGACCACAGUAGUCCUCCACUAAGGGGGCUCAGAAAUCUGCCAGCCAGUCAACUGAGCCCCUGCUAUGUGCUAGGAGUUGUUUCUCUUAUACAGACACUGUCUCAUCGCAUUGCCCUGCCUGGCCUCAAACUCCUGGUUUCACAAGAUCUUCUCGUCUUAGCCUACCAAAGUGCUGGGAUUAUAGGUGUGAGCCACCAUGCCAGGCCAGGAAUUAUUCUAAGUGCUCAAGAUGCAGCAGUGGAGAAGACAGGUCAGAUUCUAGUGCCUAUGUUAUUUACUAGUCAGGAAGACAGACAAUAAACAAAUGAACAGAGUCAAGAUGACAGUUAUCUGUGCUAUAAAGAAAACAGCAGAGGGUAUGUGGUGAGUGAUAGGUAGGAUAGCCAUUCUAGUGAGGGUGGUUCUGAUAGGGUUAAGGUUAACCCAAGGCAACGUUUCAGCAGAGACAAGGGAUUACAGGAAGCCAGACACUGCAGGAAGAGGAAACCAAGCAGAGCCCCUGAAGUGGGAUUAGCAUUGGUGUGUUCAAGCAGCAGCAGAGGCUCACUCGUGUGGCUGAAGUUAAUGGCAAGGCCGGAAAGUAGAGAUCUCCAAGCUGCUAUGUAGAGAAUGGGUUUAUGGCGAUGGUGCUAUCAUGGAGACAUGUUGGGUGGCACUCUGGUAGUCCUCAGUAGGGCAGGCUGGUUACAGACGUGGCACUGGAAGUGCAGAAACUGUCCCAUACAAGACUUGCUGACAGACUGGAUAUGGGAAUUACAAAAGAAAGGAAUCAUGGAUACCUUUCCUAUUUCAGGCUUGAAAUAACUUCCUAUUAUGGGGGAAUGCUGGGAGGGAGUGAAGGGGGGGGGGGCCAGGAGUCUGUUUUAGCCACAUUCAAUGUGAGAUGCCUAUUAACUCUCCAAGCAGAGACCAACACAAACAGUUGAACACGAUGCUGGAGCUCAGCAGAGAAGGCAGGACUGGAGAGAGAUUCGUCUGAUAAAGAGGAUGCCAUCUACUACCACGCUGUCCCCCUCUCCUCACAACUGCUCUUCAUGACUCUUCACUGGAUCUCAGCUCCCAAAGCCCAAGAAUCUGCUGGGUGGGAUAAGGACUUGGAAGACACUGGAAGAGGGAUGGCCACCCACCUCGUUCCACUUCCAGCCGCCGCUGCCUCUCUCGCUCCUGAUCCGCCUGCACGGCCUUCAUGUGCUGUAACACCUGCAAAGGGAGAGGACGGCUCUCAACUACUCAAAGUAAUCGUCUUCACAGCUCACUUCUGCUCAGGGCAGUCUCAAAAAAGAGACUAUAUUCAGGAUCCUAGAUUACCACAGGUCCCCGGUAGCAAUGCAGAACUAAUAGAGUUAAUCCUCUCUUUGUAUCAUAAGUUAUUAUGCCAGCCUUAAUUGGAGAAGAAUCACAUAAGCCCAGUUCAUUAAAGUUGUCAGAAAAAAAUCUGUGAAACAUGAUGCCAGCUUAAAUCUGUAAAAAGUUCUUCCAUUUACAAUCAUUCUCACGUUUGAUUUCAUAGAAUCCUCCCAGCAAAAACUUGGGAUUGGCAUUUCCUCCAACUCACUUUCCUGACCUCCCCUCCUUUGGCUACUUUAGGUACCACCUCCCACCCCUAUGGAAUUCAUACAGGAUACUGCAAUUAACUUGCUACCCAGCUGUCUCAGUCAUAAGACUGCAAGCUCCUUAAGGGCUGAACUGUUGUCCUAUCCGUAGGUGCCCCAGGUGGGCAUAGCUAGCACAGAUCUCAGCUAAUCAUAGGCAUUCAAUACAUGUAUGAUGAAUGACUGGAUUCUUAUUUCCAAAGGAAGAAAACCAAGAUGGAUAGGGUGAUUUGUCCACUGCACAUGGCUAGAAAGUAGCACAGCUAAGACCUGGGUGCAGAUUCCUAGAACAGAGCUUGUUGUACUCACUGCCACCAAAGGCACAGGGGAGGAAAGCUCUAAGAGAAAGGCCCAAACAUGACGCCCUUCUACUUGGCACCCUGAGCUCCCUCAACAACUCACUCAACAACUCAAUCACGGAUGACCUCUGACUAAUGCCACAAAGAUUCUCACCAUGGACAAGGUUGUGGGAGGACGCAAAAAAAAUCUUUUCUGUUUGUAUUUUUUUGAAGGUGGUCUUCCUUAGAUGGAAGGGACAGAGUAUAAGCUUGGAGCCCCCUGCAAAUCCUGACUACCACUUACUAUGUGACCUUGGUAAGUGACUUAACCUUUUUGAGCCAGUUUUCUCAUCUGGAAAACAGAGAUAAGAUACCCUUCUCUCUUGCCUGUUGUGAAGAUUAAAUAAGGUAACUCGUACUGGAUGCCUAGCAAAAUCCCAGGGAUUAUAUGUGCUCAAGAAAUACUGCUGCUUAUCUUCUUUACCCCAUGAAUGAAAAAAGAAGAAAAUCUGUACUAUUCUAAGAUAGCAAAAGGGUCUUAUUUCACUACUGCACUAAACCACCUACAGGACAGACGUGUAUUCAAACAUAAUUCUUUUUAUUUCUUGGAAUCUUCAGACCACAAACAGCCAUCAUAAGAGGGACUCAGAAGCAGGCCUGCAAAAGGAUCUCCCUUCAAGAGCCUGGUCUGAAGCCACCAGGAACCCUGUCCUGAGUAAUCUAAGACUUGAACUUGCUGGUACCUCUCCCUGUGGAGUCAUGCUAACAAAAAUGGCUGCUCAACAAGGAGUUGCAGGAUCUGGAGAAGGUUAAGUAUGAUGGUGAAAGGCAGCCCUAGCUCAAAGUCCCUGUCUCUGAACUCUGAAUAUUAAAUAAGCAUUAACCAUUCCGUUGGGUUUAGGGGUAUACAGCUGGCUAAGAGACAUCCCUUUUUACCUUGGCUACAAGUGCUACCUACCAUCUGAGUUAAUUAUCUGAAAAUACAGGCAGUUCAGAAAUGGGAGAGACUCUCCUAGUCUAGACUAUGAGCUCCUGGAGGGUAUAUUUUAUCUACCUACCCUGGUUCACAGCACACAGUAAGCACUUGAUGAGUACUGUU
This is a non-coding RNA of Microcebus murinus (gray mouse lemur), 4022 nucleotides long. NCBI's taxonomy places the organism in Eukaryota, Metazoa, Chordata, Mammalia, Primates, Cheirogaleidae. The record is from RefSeq and is a predicted model, not a curated record.